ACAUCGGUAGCACAGUGGCUAGUGCAGUCUGCCGGAAACAGAGAGACGCGUGUUCAAUUCCCGUCCGAUGUC
Molecule: non-coding RNA, 72 nt
Organism: Nippostrongylus brasiliensis
Lineage: Eukaryota; Metazoa; Nematoda; Chromadorea; Rhabditida; Heligmosomidae
Source: Rfam